Molecule: ribosomal RNA, 450 nt
Filed under: uncultured bacterium
Lineage: Bacteria
Description: bacterial SSU rRNA
Rfam family: Bacterial small subunit ribosomal RNA
Source: RNAcentral
UGGGGAAUAUUGCGCAAUGGGCGAAAGCCUGACGCAGCAACGCCGCGUGAGUGAUGAAGGCCUUCGGGUUGUAAACUCCUGUCAUGAGGGAACAAGAAAGUGAUAGUACCUCAAGAGGAAGAGACGGCUAACUCUGUGCCAGCAGCCGCGGUAAUACAGAGGUCUCAAGCGUUGUUCGGAUUUACUGGGCGUAAAGGGUGCGUAGGCGGUGGCGUAAGUCGAGUGUGAAAUCUUCCGGCCUAACCGGAAAACUGCACUCGAUACUGCGUCACUAGAGGACUGUAGAGGAGACUGGAAUUCACGGUGUAGCAGUGAAAUGCGUAGAUAUCGGGAGGAACACCUGUGGCGAAGGCGGCCACCUGGUUGGAUACUGACGCUGAGACGCGAAAGCGUGGGGAGCAAACAGGAUUAGAUACCCCAGUAGUCCCUGAGCGGGCUGGCAAGGCGCAU